AUGUCCUCUCUGAGGCCGCUCAACACGGAACCAAGUUUUCUCCACUCCCCCAUGGAUGCCUGCGCCGCGCCGCUGAGGUCGCCGUCGCCGAGGGUCGUCGCCGGCCCGCCCAAGAAGAGGAUGCCGCGCCCCCUCCAGAGGUCGCUCAGCUUCAAGAACUGGGAGGCGGAGGCUGCCGCCGAUGAGCCAGAGCCGGCGACCCGGUGCAUCAACGGCGCGCGCCCCGGGACCCUCCUGCUCCAGAGCCCCGGAAGCAAGCAGCAGUCCCCGUCCAAGCCGCACUUCGUCUCUCCGAGGCCUCAGGCCGAGCUGGACGACGCGGCCACCAAGGUCCAGAAGCUCUUCAAGGGCCACCGGACCCGGAGGAACCUCGCCGACUGCGCCAUUGUCGUGGAGGAGCUCUGGUGGAAGGCCUACGAUUCCGCAUCACUCAACAUCAAGUCCAUCUCCUUCUUCGACGAGGCCAAGCAGGAGACGGCUGCUUCCCGGUGGUCAAGGGCUGGGAAGAGGAUUGCCAAGGUCGGCAAGGGGCUGUCCAAAGACGAGAAGGCCCAGAAACUGGCACUGCAGCAUUGGCUCGAAGCUAUUGACCCGCGCCAUCGCUACGGCCACAAUUUGCACCUCUACUACGACAUCUGGUCCGCGAGUUCCAGCACAGAGCCCUUCUUCUACUGGCUGGAUAUCGGAGCCGGGAAAGACGUUCAUCACCAAAAGUGUCCCAGAAGCAAGCUGUAUUCCCAACUGAUUAUGUACCUCGGACCAAACGAGAGGGCAGGGUACGAGGUUAUUGUGGAGCAAGGGAAGCUCAUGUACAGGAGAAGCGGCCUUCUCGUAGAAACCACCGAGGAUUCGAAAUGGAUAUUUGUGCUGAGCACAACUAGAUCACUAUACAUCGGGCAGAAGAAGAAGGGUAAAUUUCAGCACUCAAGUUUCCUGGCCGGCGCGGCGACAACCGCUGCCGGUAGGUUGGUUGCCAAAGAUGGCAUUCUUAAGGCAAUAUGGCCUUACAGCGGCCACUACCUCCCUACAGAGGAGAACUUCAGGGAGUUCAUCAGUUUCUUGGAGGAGAACAAUGUCGAUCUAGCUAACGUCAAGAGGUGUUCCGUGGACGACGACGAGUACCCAUCGUUCAAAAAGAGCUCAGACGAGCCUACUGAAAUGGAAGGAGAUGACGAGAAACCCACCGAGGAGGCGCAACAUGAUGAGACCCUCAACAGCUCGCAAAUUGAACUGCCUGAGAUGGACAUCAUCAAGGAAGUGGUUGCCGAGGACAAUGCGGAAACCGAGACCAAGAUGGCCAGUCUCCCAUCCUUCAAAUGGGCAACCGCUGCUGGCGCGCGGAUCGGCUGUGUCCGUGACUACCCGGCUGAUCUCCAGAGCAUGGCUCUUGAGCAUGUCAAUCUGUCACCAAGAGUGGUGCCGUCUCCGAGUGCGAAUCGGCUGCCCAUCCCGUCACCUCGGCCGAGCCCCAAGAUCAGGCUGUCUCCCCGGCUGCACUACAUGGGCCUUCCCACCCCCACCGGCCGCCGUCUCCCGAUCCCAAGCCCGGAAAUCAGGAGGCAGCAGUUCAUGGGUUUUCACACACCGCAAGUGUCUCUCACUCUCCCCAAGCACAAGGCCAAGUGA
This 1626-nucleotide ribosomal RNA is filed under the name Triticum aestivum (bread wheat). Its description in RNAcentral is "partial small subunit ribosomal RNA". The record is from RNAcentral. Lineage: Eukaryota; Viridiplantae; Streptophyta; Magnoliopsida; Poales; Poaceae.